This 73-nucleotide transfer RNA is filed under the name Nanobdellota archaeon. RNAcentral's name for it is "tRNA-Gln". It matches the Rfam family "tRNA". Rfam says of the family: Transfer RNA (tRNA) molecules are approximately 80 nucleotides in length. Lineage: Archaea; Nanobdellati; Nanobdellota. The record is from RNAcentral.
AGUCCCUUAGUGUAGCGGUCAAGCAUUGCGGGUUUUGGUCCCGUAGACCCAGGUUCGAAUCCUGGAGGGACUA